GGCGAGAUGGCCGAGUGGUCUAAGGCGCUAGUUUCAGGUGGACUCCCACUUACUAGUCAGAAAUGGCGUGGGUUCGAAUCCCACUCUCGUCA
This 92-nucleotide transfer RNA is filed under the name Panus rudis PR-1116 ss-1. RNAcentral's name for it is "tRNA-Leu". It matches the Rfam family "tRNA". Rfam says of the family: Transfer RNA (tRNA) molecules are approximately 80 nucleotides in length. Lineage: Eukaryota; Fungi; Basidiomycota; Agaricomycetes; Polyporales; Panaceae. The record is from RNAcentral.